CGAUGUCAUUCCUGAUGUCUGCCAUCAUCAGCAGUAAGAAGUCAAAUGAACCUGGUGGGCCCUGCAGCCACAAGGCACGGUCAUUAAUCACAUUCCACUUUACUCUUACAGUUUUCAAACAGGACACGGAGCUAGUACCAUGUUAGAAACCUUGAUAUUUGAUAACCAUGAGGCUGUUCACCUUUCAAGUCAUCGUGGAAAUACUGCAAGUCUACCCAAAUGGAGGGCAGGAGAAAUUCAGGAGAGAUACAGCAACAAGUUGCCAAAAACUGAAGGCUAAUAACUGCUUGGAUCUUCUCAGAAAACCUAUUUUUCGUUAUAUGAAUUUUCCUCUGUUCAUUUACUGUUCUUCCUCAGGCCAACAUUUUCUCAGAUAUUAAGUUCCCAAUUGCUUGCACAAGUCCCUAGCUUUUCAUAGGUUUCAAUAAGAGACCAAAAUGCUUUGUGGAUCUGGCCCUGUAACCAUACCAUUUAACCCAAUGGAUGUCUGCAUCUGCUCUGUGUAAAGACACAAGGCACAAGCAAAUGAGAAUGCAAGGAGAAUUGCAUACUGUGGUUUAAAAUGUCAUUGCCCAUUAAAUAUCAGAUUCUGCUUGCCCA
Cygnus atratus (black swan) is the source of this 600-nucleotide long non-coding RNA. RefSeq lists it as uncharacterized. The record is from RefSeq and is a predicted model, not a curated record. Lineage: Eukaryota; Metazoa; Chordata; Aves; Anseriformes; Anatidae. The transcript is spliced from 2 exons.